CAAUAGCGUAUAUUAAAGUUGUUACAGUUAAAAAGCUCGUAGUUGGAUUUCGGGGUGGCCUGGCUGGUCCGCCGCAAGGUGAGUACUGGUCAGCCGCCCUUCCUCUCGAAAGCCCCGACUGCUCUUUACUGCAGUGGUCGGGUAGUUCGGGACGUUUACUUUGAAAAAAUUAGAGUGUUCAAGGCAGGCUAUCGCCUGAAUACAUUAGCAUGGAAUAAUGGAAGAGGACCUCGGUCCUAUUUUGUUGGUUUCUAGGGCCGAAGUAAUGAUUAAGAGGGACAGUUGGGGGCAUUCGUAUUUAAUUGUCAGAGGUGAAAUUCUUGGAUUUAUGAAAGACGAACUAGUGCGAAAGCAUUUGCCAAGGAUGUUUUCAUUAA
Molecule: ribosomal RNA, 377 nt
Filed under: uncultured eukaryote
Lineage: Eukaryota
Description: partial 18S ribosomal RNA
Rfam family: Eukaryotic small subunit ribosomal RNA
Source: RNAcentral